UGAAACGAUCGAGGAGGUGAGGUUGACUACCGACCACUCGAUCAAGGUUGUGGAGGCUGUCUCACCACAAGACAGAGGUGACGGUUGUUAAUAACUGGAAGUCGGAGCAGCAGACGGAGAUCAGUGUAGGAGAGUGCACUAUCCUGGUCAAAGCGCUCCGUCAAACACUUGGGCGUGAUGAUCGACGAUAAGCUUACCUUCGGUAGCCACGUCGAUUAUGCCUGUAAAAGAGCCUCCACAGCUAUUGCGGCACUGUCCCGGAUGAUGUCCAAUAGCUCUGCGGUGUACGCCAGUAAGCGCAAGCUUCUGGCUAGUUUUGUUACGUCCAUACUAAAGUAUGGCGGCCCGGCGUAGGGCACCGCGCUAAGUACUGAAUGCUACCGACGGAAGCUGGAAAGUAUUUACAGGCUUAUGUGCCUGAUGGUUGCGAGCGCGUACCGUACCGUGUCACACGACGCUCACUGCGUCAUUAUUAGUAUGGUGCCUAUCAGCAUUCUUAUCAGUGAGGACAUGGAGUGCUUCGAAAUGAGCGGCACAAGAGGCAUACGCAGGACUGCCAGGAAGGCCUCUAUGGUCAAAUGUCAGCGCGCGUGGAACAGUUCCACCAAAGGAAGGUAGAACCAUAGGUUGAUACCGAGGGUAGAUAGUUGGAUUAAUAGGCGUCAUGGGGAAGUUACAUUCCACCUGACACAGGUCCUUACAGGUCAUGGUUGCUUCCGACAGUAUUUACACCGUUUCGGGCAUGCGGAUUCUCCCGAAUGCCCAGUGUGCAAUGGUUUAGAGCAUAGGUUCCCAAACUUUUCGGGUGCGCGACCCCCCUUUGCUAGCAGACGUACUUUUCGCGACCCACCAUAGAAAUUCCCUCAUUUGUUGUAUGUUACAGUAAAAUAUUUUACUGUCCCUCGCGACCCCCUGGAUGAAGGCUGGCGACCCCCCUGGGGGGUCGCGACCCACAGUUUGGGAAACUAUGGUUUAGAGGAAACGGUGGAGAACGUUUUGUUCGUGUGCCCGCGUUUUCGCACAAUGUGUGACCGCAUGCUUGCCACAUGUGGGGAGGACACAACUCCGGACAAUUUGGUCCAGAGGAUGUGUGGGGAUGAGGUUAGCUGGAACGCCGUUUCAACGGCUAUCACCCAUAUCGUCUGGGAGCUACAGAGGAGGUGGCGCGUGGACUUGGAGAAUGGCUAGUUCAGAUGCGGUACAAGAGGUGGUCCAGGGGUUCGAAGUCGGCUUCGUAGGUCAUACCGGUGCCCAGUGUCAGUGUCAGCUGCUCUCAGGGGGGAAAGAGCAACUGACGAAAGUGCCGGGGCUGGGAUCGAACCCAUCACCAUCUGCUUAUGAAGCAAACGUGUAGUCACUACGCCUCGGACCCCGACUAACACAAUACCGCCGUCAACGACACCAGCAGAGAAACUCAGAGGCGUAUUAUAGCCGGAAAUCGAGCUAACUUUGUACACUGCAGAACUCUACGAUCGAACAAAGUUCGCCGUCACACGAAAUUGACUAUCUAGAAAACGCUGACUACCGGUCUAGUCCUCUAUGGGCACGAAGCAUGGACCGUGUGUGCAGAGGACCAACGCUCUCUUGGAAUUUGCGAACGGAAGGUGUUGCGUACCAUCCACGGCGGAGUGCAGAUGGAAGACGGGAAUGGGAGGAGGCGAAUGAACCAUGAAUUGCAUCAGCUGCUGAGAGAACCAACCAACGUUCACACCGCGAAAAUCUGGAGAGAAAUCCUAUCGGUACAGAAGGUGUGGUGCGCAGCGAGGUAGGUGGGUCGAUCAAAUGGAAUACGAUUUACGGAUCCUUCGUAGAGUACGCCUCUGGAGACGCACAGCCAUGGACCGAGUAGAAUGGAGAUGGCUUGUACGUACACUCAGGCCUUAGUUUGAUCGAAAUGGUUAAUUGGUUAGUUAGCUUCAGCAUAACAUCGAUUUAAGUUUAAAUUUUUGGUAUGUUAUUUUACAUAUUCUUUUUCAUACAUAAUUUGUAAUUGUAGCAUUACUUGCAUUGACGACAAAUAAAAGUAAUAGUCAACGUAUGCCUUACUUUACAGUCUAUUUAUUGUCGUAUUUAACUCACUUCUUAAUAAGCGAUAAUCGUUCCGAUGAACCGUUUUAAUUGAAUGAUUGACGGAGCAUCCGCAUUGGCACCGCAGAUUCUCUACCGUCGUCAUUUGUGGUUAGUCAUAUAAGUCACCAUCACCGUCGUCAAUUAAAGUCAAGCCAGUAAUGAAUAUCAAUCCCAUGAUCCAUCAUAAUGCUAGAGGAAUGGAAUCCAUUUCCCCUCGCGCCAGUCAGUGCUAGAACCGCGUCAACCGGCUUCUGAAGCAUCUGGCAUUAGUUUAGAGAUUCAGCCUUAGAGAUUAGCUUGAUGCUCCAUCCCCGGUCGGUCAUUAAUAUCCAAACACUCGGGUCAGAAAACGAAAGUGCACCCACUCAAGGCAAUGGGUGAUACGAGUAUGGUGUGUUAUGUAUAUACUUUGUAUAGACGCCUCCACCGCCUCCGAAAGUACUUGAUCUUGUCCAGAAGGGAACUCCAUUUCUUCACCUACUCCAUAGUAUUCCAUCAGGCUGAUCUGAUAUGCUGGUAUAAACAUGCAGUAUUGGUCCGAAGGUUUGUAACAAAAUUUGCCUUUUAUGCAGUUUAAUACUUUGGUACUGUUUUGGAGAAUCAGAAACAAUUAGAAAUUUAUAUUGAUAACUUUCUUAGUGUUUGUUUUCUAAUGGGACUAUUACCAGAGAUGAAUCAGCGCCCAAAUGAAAAUCUCUGUACUGAAGAGUAAUAAACAUUAUUAAAUAAUGUGACCAUUACUGUAGCUGUAUUAAUACGAAAGGCACUCGUAACAUUCAAGCAAAUAAAAACAAUCCAAUCAAGCAAUUGGUAAACAAAUGUUCGCCUGAAUUAGCCCGUGUGUGCGCGCUGGCUGAACUUGAACUUGAAGCAAACGGCUUCCAAGAGUGUAGUAAAGCGAUCAACGUCGACCGACGACGUUGGGUGCCAAGCUGCCAAGCGUGUACGUGUAGUUACAUACCUCCGCAAAGACGAUAGACGCGGUGCUACCAUACAGUGUACAGAAUCGACCCGCGCCCUUUUCGUCACAGAGUUUUGAUGUAUACACAUGAUCGAGUAUGACUAUCGAGUAAAGAGGAGAGCGUCCUACGCGCAUCUCGAGCUGGCUUGGCAAACACUGGUGUAGUUGAUCGCGAUCGAACCUACCGGGAAACCGUUGCCAAAUUCUGAACCUACACGCGCGCUGUGCGCUCUAGAUCAAUGCGAGAAUUUUGAUCUUGAAAUAAAAAAGCAAUCGAACCGAGUUAUAGGUUCUGGAAUAUCGGUUGCCCGCGUAUUUUAGAUAGUGGGUUUGAUGUGGUCUUGAUCACGAUUUACUGGGGCCAAGACUUAGGCGUAAACUGAGCAAGGAAUUUGCGAUUGAAUGUGAUAUUGAAAAUAAUGUAAUGUCAAUCGCUUUCCACAAAAAGCAAAAUAUUGCUUAUAAAUCAAGUAGUACAAGUAGUAGAUUAUCUUUUUAUGAGGUAACAGCACGGCUGCUAGGAAGGACGAGAUUCCGGUCGAACCUAUUAAUCGAGGAAGCGAACUAAAUAAAUCAAAUCACAAGAUUCUUAUUAACAUAUGAGAUGAUGAAGUAUUGUUCACCAGCUGGUGCAAACUAGAAAGUGCAAGAGAGGUAAGUGCAAGAGAGGUAUAACAUUCGGCGUACAAAAUACUGUCGCGUGUCUUGUUCAACAGACUGAGUCCUUUGGAGGAGUCCUCCAUCAGCAAAUACCAGGCUAGUUUCGACGGAUCUCUACCGUUUAACCUAUAGAACAAGUUUCGGGAGUAUAACUUGCAGUCUUUAUCAGUUCAUUAAUUUUAAAGUAGGGCACGAUUAGGUGAAAAUAAAUUAGCUUUGGCAGAUAAUGGCAGAACAUGGUUAAUUGUAGAAACUAGUCAGGCUAAAAAGUGCAAUGUUGCACAAUGUUCUAAUGUUGAGAAAAGCUGGCAGAAACUCAAUUUUUGAACAUCUCUUAAAUGGGUUUCAGUAUAUAGAUCAUUCAUCUACAAUAUCAGAAGUGUUGACUGUCUUUCAAAUUAAUUGGAAUAAAUCGAUAGUUGGACCAACCUUCUGUAUCUGGGGUAUCUGAGAUCUAUGUAGCUGUCAACGAAGAUGAAACAAUACAAUACGAGUAGCGAAGUAGGUAACACAAACUCGGAUUUUUGAUUAAAUUUCCCUAAUUUCUGAAACACUUACUAAGUUUAAUAGUUGAUUGAACCUUUGUUCUGAAUUUAUUAUUGAAUUCGUUAGAACAUCUAAAUAAAUACACAUUUCUAAAUAAAAUAAUAAAACAUUGUACAACACAGACAAGCUAAAAUGGCACAAAUUUCCCAAGUGGAGGAGAACGUGCCUCUGGAGCCGGCCUACUGAUUCUCUAAAGGAAAAAUGAGCUAAAAAGGAGUCUCGAACAUUUUACCAUUGUCGCAUCAACCGCAACAAACUUUAAGAGCCAGUUCGCGAGAACCGCGACCCCCUUUCCAAAGGAAGUGGAAUCGAUGUGCUCCGAUUGAACUGAAAUUUUCAGGGUAUGGUUUUCCAUAUAAAAGAUGAUAUCUGGCCGAUUUUCAGAUUUUUCCGUUAGGGGGAAGUCAAGGGGGAGGUCAGCUCAAUGAUAUAGUUUUAAUAUCAGGUUAAUAUUUUUGAUAUUUUUAAUAUCAUCGAAGCAGCUCAGAUUACUAAAGAGAUUUUCCCAUCAACAUACAUCUGUCAACAGAAGCACACGGACCGAAUGCAAGGACAAAUAGCCAAGUUCUGUUCAAUGGUUGUUUAAUGCGAGACGGGAUCUCUGAGUCAUUGCUAAUUGACAUUUUUGGUGUUGGAACCUUGCUACCUGUUCUGUUACCAGAUUACUUUUGAAUAGCGAUUCCAGAAUGUAUUUAAUAACGAUGUUCAAUCGUGAGAAGUUUGGAGGUUCAGUCCAUGUCUUACGAGCAUAUUUUUUAUUAUCCCUGCACAAGUCUGAUGUAGCAAAUAAAGAAAUUAGGGAUAAUGGUGGGUAUGACUUUACUUUCGGAAAUAGAACGACGUCUCUUUGAUAUGUACCUACAACAUCCGGCUCUCAAACUUUUGUUAUCUUGCAGUAUACCAGCAUAGCCUUCCUUAAAUCCUGCUGAUGAACCGAAUGCAGAGUGUGAGAAUAUGUGAAUCGAAGAAAAUUUGUGCUCGGCUGUUCAGGUUGCAUUCUAACUUGCCGGUCGAAUAUCAUGUAUAUUAUCUGCUAGCGCAAGCAUAUCCAGGGGAUAGGGAAACUGAGGAUUCUUAGCUACUAUUAACUUGUGGUUUCCUGACUAAAAGUACAAGUUGGGAAAAUGCAUUAGAGAGCUAUUAAGAGGCCGAGAUCGGUUCGUUUUUGGUUAUUGAGUCAGACGAUUAGGUGACUCGGCUAUUUCUAGAAAACAACCACGGGGUGUUCAGUCACUCUUGAACAGCUCCGGGUGUAGUUUCACAACUCUACUUUUAAAACGCUGCCCACAUAAUCACAAACUGUAAAUGCAACGUUUCUCAUACUGUGGAUGACUAUUAGCAAUUGUCAUGUAACCAUUCCUCAGGCUGUCCAAGAUAACAGUAAGACAACUAUUCUAUGUACAGAUUUGCCAGUUUGACAAAUGGUAAUCCGCCAAAUUACAGUUUGUUGAAUAGGCGGUUAAGAUAGGUUACCAUAAAAAAUCGCUCGUUUUCUCGAACAAAUUUUUCGCAAUACAGUAAAGGAUACGGUCAAUAUAUUAUCCAGUUUUUCAGACCAUUCACUGCAUAGCAAAUGGUUGGACAACAGUUCCACAAUAAAUCUGGGAGAAAACGAGCACUGUAUGUGAUAUUAUUGAUUAAUGGUAUUUCAUGGUAUUUUAAGCCUAUGACAUAUGGUUCUGCUGCAUUUCAACCGCUUAGAAAUAAAAAGGCGGUUGUGUUUUCUUUUCUGUAGAUUUUUUAUUCAUCAACUAUUUACCAUCUAUUCCAAGACUCAUGCCCAGCAGCCACUCCCAUCCUACUAGAUGCAAUUCCUCCACCAAUUGUUGCGGCUCCAACGAAUGCCGGCAGUGAGCCACAUUUUGUUCACUUUUCCCUGCCGGCCGUUGAGCGACGAGAAUCGGAACCAUGUCUACAACACAAAAACAAUGCGUAUUCGUCAGUGCGGAUCACCAUCCGCUGGUAUCGAUUGCAACUCACAUGAACAUUUUGCUAAACGACAUCGCUCUUCUUCUCCUUUAGUUCUACCGGAGGUUUUCAACAAUGCUGAGGUUAAAGCUGCCGCAGGUCAUCGGUAUUGGGAGUUACUGGGCUGGAUCUGUCGGGGAAUGCCUCUGGGUCGAGCUCUGGGUAAAAUCCGUGCACAACUGCGAAGAGAAAAGAUCGAUGGUUUGUUUAAAAAACUCACUUUCUGACGCCAAACCUGUGGCCAGGCAUUGAACCCUUAGUAGAAUACUCACCGAAAUGCAUAAAAUCUGCCGUUUCAGAUGUAUCCCGGAACGGAUUUUCCGAAACUGCAUUUAAACACCAGCGACCAAACAAAUUACUUUUUUUUUUCUUUUUUUUAUUGCAAAAUGUCAAGCUGCAAGUAGUUGAGUAGAUCCUCUGGUCAAGUUUCAAUCGAUCACAAAUACUAAUGUACGAAACUGUUUGUCAUAUUGUGCAACAUUAGUAAAAUGUAGUUGAAUGCACAUGUGUCAGUGUGUUGUGCCAAUAUGAAUGUAAACCAUUUGACAAACUGUGGUUCUAUUUUUCAACCAUUUCUCGCAAAUAUUCAUCCUCAUAUAACUUAACAAUAACUGCACAAUAUAAUACAUUGUUACCACUUGCUAUGGGUUAAUUAAACCAUUGAAUACAGUCGAAUGCACAGACCUUCAUAUUGUUGAACAUGAAAACAACUGUGUGUGGUAUAUUAACAUUAACACAUACAAGAUAUUUAUUGUGUGGAGAUUAAGGCAAAUUGUAAUUUGUUAUGCGGGUGGUUAACUUUGUGUCAGUUAUAAACAAUGCGUAAAAGCAAGGCAUAUCUGAUGAUUUUUUUAAUAUUAGGAUUAAUAUUUUUGAUAUUUUAUUAAUUUUGAUACCAGAUCGGGCUGUCCUCCCCCUUGGGGGAAGUGGGGUAAAAUAGCCCUCAAAGAUUUCAUGUCUAAAAAUAGGUAAAAUCACUAAAAUCGCAAUAACUUCCGCAAAAGUUAACGGAUUCAGCUGAAAUUUUGGAUGGACACUCUACUCCUAUGGCACUUCCAUUUAAGCCAAGCGUUGGAUAUUCUUUGAUAUUUAAUUUGAAGAAAUAGGUUAUUUUCAUAAUUUUGUUGGCGAUUUUCAGGGCGCCUGUUUUCGUACCAACAGAACUAGGAUAAAAAACUGAGUACUACGUUUUGAAGGAUUACCCAAGAGCUUUCAUUUGAUAUGUGACCCAGAUGCGCCAACUUAAAAACUUUCGAAAAAAAAUUUUUUUUUUUCUCGGGUUUGCAUUUUACCCCAUAUUUUAAGCUAUCUCAAGAAGUGUUGUCGCAAAUUAUUACAACGUUAUUUAACUUUCAAGGGUUUUUCUUCAAUAUUAAUUCAACAGAAAAAUUAUGACUAAGAAAUACAAUUAUUAGAUUUUUUCAUUUGGGGAAAGUAGGGUAAAACGGACUAACUCAACCUCCUUUCGAAAUAACGUUGCUACGAUGUUCUCUGAUCGGUCUUUAAUUUUCAGAGUUCUUUAUUCUAUUCAAGAAUCCACUUAUCCGCAAGCGGUAAUGGCGGCGGCGGGCACAAAUAACACUAGUUUACAAAAUAAAACGAAAGUCGUGAACUUCUGUCAACGACCAGAAUUUUUGAAGCACAAUUUAGUACUGAUUUCGAAACCGUGCUUCAAAAAUUUUUAAGUAGAGCACUUUUUGAGUUUUAGCUCAAUAUCGAGUUUUACAACUUUUAAAAAUAUUGAAUUUACUAAAAUUCAAAUAUCUUGCGUUUUGUUCAACCAAUUUCAAAUCUUUUUUUAUAAAUUAAAAGCUGAAUACAACACCAUUAGAUCAUCUGAAUGCAGGUUUUGCGUCAGAUUGAUGAAAUUCAAGAUAUUGGCGAGUUUAAGGGACGAUCUCCUUAAAUUUUAGCCAAAUUUCCAAAAAUAUAUGAAGAAAUGUAUUUUUUUCAAUAAGAAAAAAACAAUCUAAAAAUUCUUUCUGAACGUUUAUUUGACAUAUCAUAUGUAGGCGAGUUACAGUAAAAAAAUCAGCUCAAUCGUAGCAUUGAUUACGGAGAAUGAGAUGUGUGAAGUGAGCGACGUUGCUUAAAAAUAGAACAAAAAUCGAUUUCAAAUCAUCAACCUUGUAUGGAAAGUCGAAAAAAUUUCCUCUCUACUGUAAUUUUUUUCCUUCGCGUUUUCGAACUCAGGGCAUGAUUCUACACCAAAAAUGAUCAUCAGCUUACCGAGUUCAAAAAUGCUGUAAACUAGUGUAACCGAUUCGAAUUUUGACGUUUCUUGGGGAUCGCAAUCGGUUGGCGCCACCAAACGGUGGGUGAAGGGGUGAGGAGGUGAAUGAAAUUGUUUUGACAUUCCCCCACGAAACGUCAAAAUCCGAACCGGUUGGAUAUGCCCGCCGCCGCCAUUUCCGCUCGCGGAUAAGUGGAUAGAUGCUUUAUCACAUUUUUUUUCUUGAGAGGAUAACGAGGUAAAACAAUUCUCAGAAAAAAAUGUUGAAAAUAAUCAAAAUGUCAAAACCUACAAAUGCUUUGGUACAACUUGUCGAAAUUUCAUGAAAUAAGAAAAAAUUUCUUAAUUUUUAUUGCUUAUUCAAAUGAGCAAGUCUGACAACAUUUUGACGUCGAGAAAUGUCACAAAUUAGCACGUGGUGUGUGAUUCGCCGGAUUCUUUCUCGAUUUUUCUUUUGACAUGCAUCUCCGGCUCAAUUUUCUUUUUUUUUUCUUGUGAAAGUUGCAGCAGUGCACAAUGGUCCACGACAAAGAUUUACGAGGAAAGAUGCAUUCAGCGCCUUCAAAUGAUUUUUUGGACAAAUAUGGUCUUCUACGAAGUCGUUCCCAAAAAUCAGGCCCUCUUUUCAAUGUACAUCAAAAUUAGGGUGGUCCAUAUUUUCGAAGAAAUUGGGAACCAAACUUUUUUAUUUGCAAGAAUAACUGUAUACAUUCUUCAGAAAAGUUGUAGAUCUAUCAAUUUUGAGCAAGUUUCCUGAAGACUUUUUUUUGUAGCUUUAAAAUUGACCGAUCUAGAGAUAUUUUUCUGAACAAGCUUAGGGUGGUUCAAGAAAAAUCGGUUUUCUGGCGUUAACUGUUUCAGUUUCGAUUUUUCAUCAAAGCCACCCAAGAAACACUUGUAGAGCAUAGUUUUUUGAAAAGGUGUUAUGACGGGUUGGGGCAAUCAUAAAAAUUAUCUUUGCCCGCAUUCAAAAAAAGAAACGUUGUUAUAAAACACAUCAAAAAAUUAGAGGGGUGUUUUUUUGUAACUUAAGUAAAAAAUACUUGAAAAGUGCCUAUUUUUUCUAGAUAAUCAUCAAUAACUUUUGAACGGAAUGACGUAGCAACAUUCUCAGCGAACGAAAAUGCGCUUUUUUUGGAAACUGUAAAAGUGGUUCUUACGCGACUUAAACGAGAAAUUUUAAACAAAGACGGUAAAGCAAUAAAACGAUUUCUAGAGUCACCCUUUAUCUUUAUCUUUUUUGUUUCAAAUUUCACGUCAAAGUUGUCUAAGAACAAUUCAAGAACUCAAAAAUAACGCAUAUUUUCGUGCGUUGGGAAUGUUGCUUCGUCAUUCCGUUCAAAAUAUAUUGAUGGUUUUCUAGAAAAAAAUAGGCACUUUUCCAGCAUUUUUCACACACCAAUCGGUCAUAUCACCUUUAAAAAAAUAUUUUUUAGGAAAAACACCUGUAACUUUUGAACCAAAAGAGAUAAGGACCAUUUCAGCGCAUGAAACGACGCGUUUUCAAAUGCUCUACAAGUGUUUCUUGGGCAACUUUGAUUAAAAAUCGAAACUGAAAAAGUUAACGCGAGAAAACUGGUUUUUCUUGAACCACCCUAAGCUUAUUCAGAAAAACAUCUCUAGAUCGGUCAAUUUCAAAGCUACAUAAAAAAAAGUCUUCAGGAAACUUGCCCAAAAUUGAUAGAUCUACAACUUUUCUGAAGAAUGUAUACAGUUAUUCUUGCAAAUAAAAAAGUUUGGUUCCCAAUUUCUUCGAAAAUAUGGACCACCCUAAUUUUGAUGUACAUUGAAAAGAGGGCCUGAUUUUUGGGAACGACUUCGUAGAAGAACAUAUUUGUCCAAAAAAUCAUUUGAAGGCGCUAAAUGCAUCUUUCCUCUUAAAUCUUUGUCGUGGACCACUGUGCACUGCAACAACUUUCAUGAGAAAAAAAUAAGAGAAAAUUGAGCCGGAGAUACAUGCCAAAAGAAAAAUCGAGAGAGAAUCCGGUGAAUCACACACCACGUGCUAAUCUGUGACAUUUCUCAACGUCCAGACUUGCUCAUUUGAAUAAGCAAUAUAAAUUAAGAUUUUUUUCUUAUUUCAUGAAAUUUCGCCAAGUUUUACCAAAGCAUUUGUAGGUUUUGAAAUUUUGUUUAUUUUCAACAUUUUUUUCUGAGAAUUGUUUUACCCCGUUAUCCUCUCAAGAAAAAAAAUAUGUGGUAAAGCAUCUAUUCUUGAAUAGAAUGAAGAGCUCUGAAAAUUAAAGACCGAUCAGAGAACAUCGUAGCAACGUUAUUUCGAAAGGAGGUUGAGUUAGUCCGUUUUACCCUACUUCCCCAAAUGAAAAAAUCUAAUAAUUGCAUUUCUUAGUCAUAAUUUUUCUGUUGAAUUAAUAUUGAAGAAAAAUCCUUGAAAGUUAAAUAACGUUGUCAUAAUUUGCGACAACACUUCUUGAGAUAGCUACAAAUAUGGGGUAAAAUGCACACCCGAGAAAAAACAUUUUUUUUUUCGAAAGUUUUUAAGUUGGCGCAUCUGGGUCACAUAUCAAAUAAAAGCUCUUGGGUAAUCCUUCAAAACGUAGUACUCAGUUUUUCAUCCUAGUUCUGUUGGUACGAAAACAGGCGCCCUGAAAAUCGUCAAAAAAAUUAUGAAAAUAACCUAUUUCUUCAAAUUAAAUGUCAAAGAAUAUCAAACGCUUGGCUUAAAUGGAAGUGCCAUAGGAGUAGAGUGUCCAUCCAAAAUUUCAGCUGAAUCCGUUAACUUUUGCGGAAGUUAUUGCGAUUUUAGUGAUUUUACCUCUUUUUAGACAUGAAAUCUUUGAGGGCUAUUUUACCCCACUUCCCCCUAACGGAAAAAUCUGAAAAUCGGCCAGAUAUCAUCUUUUAUAUGGAAAACCAUACCCUGAAAUUUUCAGCUCAAUCGGAGCACAUCGAUACAAGAAGGGGUUGCGGCUCUCGCGAACUGGCUCUUAAGGUUUCUAACCUCACAAAGUACUAGGCGCAUUAAGAAGACUGGAAUGUCGGGAUCUGAUAAAUCAACCUCAACCCGAAUACACAGCGUCAUCCGACGCUGGCGGAAAAGGACAGUUCGGCGACUGGAUGUUGUCCCUUGUUCGACCGACCCGAUUAAUGGAUAUGCGGUACAACCUGUGCGAGCAGUGGUGCCACUCCACCUGCGCGAAGGUUGACGAGAAUGUCAAAGAACGAAGUUUUACAUGCGCAAAGUGCAUCCUACCAUCCGGUCGGGAAUCCACAUGAACUUCUUCGAUUGCAGGAGAAAAAGGUGCUCAACGAGAAGUUAUUGAUGCAGCAUGCGGAGGAGGAAUGCGCUCUGCUGAAGAAGGCACAGGAGGAGGAAGAAAAAGAGAGGAGCAAGAGGAUCAUGCAGGAAAAGUUGGAUAUAGCCAAGCAAUAUUUGAAUAGGUAGUACGAGGUACUGCAGGAGAAGGAGAGAUCAAAAGAAGGUAGGAGUCGGAAAAGUCUUUCCAGCACUCGGAGUAAACUCAGUGGCGUUCAAAAGUGGGUCGAGAACCACUAUAUGGCCAUGGCAACCGGAUCCGGGAUGCAUCAAGUCCCCACUGGCACCACACCAACCACCGAAGCUGGCCCCAGGGAUGCAUCUGCUGGACUUCCGUGUGGCGGGACAUUUCAAGGCACUGCAGCUCAUCCUGAUGUUCCUAAAGAGCCUGUUGCAGUUAAUAUUGCCUCGUGGGGGAAUUCUGAUACCUCGCGCUGUCCAAAAUCCUAAAAAUUCGGUCCCGGCUCCACCACCCCCACCCCUACUAUUUCUUGCACUCCGUCUACAUGAGGUAGGGUUCGCGCACCGUCAUUUUUCUCGCAACACAGCAAGUUGGACCACUAAUUUAUUCAAUGGAGGUAUCGCCACCCCGCAGCGGCGACAAGUCUAGAGCUGACUUAGAACGUGAAGUUCGAGAACUAAAGCAGCAAUUGACCAGCAUUCAACCAUUGCCGCCAUCUUGCAUUUUGAGUAGCCAUCUUUUUGUCAUCAUUUUUGUACUUCACUGCCGCAAUUCUGCAAAGUGACGUAAGCGACAUUGAUAGUUUUGGCCAAUUUUUUGGUUAUUAUGCAUUAAACACUUACUUAUUCUCUAAGUUUCUUUCCAUAGAUGAUAGAUAACACCUAGAUCUUGCAUUCUAAUACAGCAGGAAUACCGCAGUGUUAUUUUUAUCCCAGAUAUUAUAUAUAAUAUACCAGAAAAUAUCGAAAUUUUGAAUGGCGCUUACGUCACUUUGCAGAAUUACGGAAGUUCAGGCGUUUUACUCUUACCAAGUACCGUCUUACCCCGCUGGUUCGACACGUUUUAAUACGACACUUUUUAAUUCGUAACCCGCUUAUUCGACAUAUGUCGAAUUAAAAAGUGUUCAAAUGUCACAGCGAUGUACACCGUAAAAUCAAAACAGUUUAAUAUAGCGUUUAUACUCGCACCGGCAGCAGCUCCUCUUGUAGCCGCUAAUUCCGGAAGUUCUGAGUUGGUGCUAUUCGACACCCAAACCACCUGGAGACCAACCGGAAUGAACUGAGGAUGGCAACAAUCGUAGAAAGAACGAGCGUUUUAUUCGCACCGCCGCGAUAUCUUUGAAAUAAUGUUUCAAAAUAAAUCCGGAAAUCAAAGCAAAAACAAAAAUAGAGUUGCCAAAUUUCAAUGAGCAUAAUGGUAUAGGAUGACCAGUUUGUCGAAUUAAGGCUCAAUUGAGAAUGAUGAAUGUUCCAGAACUAAAAAAGCACUUUUUAUCAAGAUGGUCCACAAAACGAAGAAAACAAGAAUGUCCAAUUGCUUAUUUAGUCAAUUAUGACAAUCGGACACGCUGGUUUUGUUCGAUUUUUCGUUAUUCUGGAGAAAAGUGCUUUUUCAGUUUUGGAUAAUAUGCGAUUCUCAUCUGAGCCUUAAAAGUUUACCCCGGUUAUUCGACAACAGUCGGUGUCGUAUUAGCGGGGUAAUACGGUACUCAAGUAUACCCAAAUUGCAUGGUUUUAGAGGCUAAAACUCUUUAGUACAGCCACCAUCUUGAUUUUUGAGCUUUGGACCAUACCAAGUAUACCCAUAUUGCAUGCCUUAAGAGUCUUAAACUCCUUAAAACAAUAGCCAUUUUGAAUUUUUGGCCGCCAUCUUGUAUAUUCUUGUCACCCUUUUUGGUCCCCGGACAUCUUCUGUAUGCCAAAUAUACUUAUAUUGCAUGUUUUAAGAACCUUAAACUUCUUCAAACAGCUGCCAUCGUGAAUUUUGGGCAGCCAUCUUGUAUAUUCCGGUUGUCAUUUGUGGACUCUGGACAUCUCCAUACCAAAUAUACCCAUAUUGCAUGGUUUUAGAGCUUUAAACUCCUUGAAACAGCCGCCUUUUCUAGUUGUGGGCCGCCAACUGAUAUUUUACAGGGGAUAGACAAAAUGAUCGGGACGGGCAAAAUUUUCACUUUUCAAGAAAUGUUCAAUUAGCUGUAACUUUUCGAAAAGUGCAUCAAAUAUUCUCAAAUUUUUACUGUAAGUUCCUCAACUAGUUGUGUAUCAGUGGACAUUGGACAUGGAAAAGAUCGGAUAAUUCUUCACGAAGUUAUAAAGAUUUCUGAAAAAGGAAAAAUUAUUCGAUAGCCAACUUUGAGCUGUUAUAUCUCCGGAUUCAAUGAACCGAAUGCAAUGAAAUUUUGACCAUUUAUGACUUAUAUAACGAUCCAUGAAAAACCAUUGACUUAACUUAAUAUUCUUAACACGGAAGAAAGUUAUAACGAUUAGAUUAUUUUUCUAAUAAAACACCAAAUUAUCCAAAACAUCAACAUCGUUUCAAAAUUCAAGAUGCAAAUUAUAGUUUAUUUAGUUUCCCUCUAAUUGACAUAUAUAUAAAUGCGUUUUGAAGGAAAGUAACAACAUAGCCGCCAAUAAAUUGAAAAAGUAAUGGGAUGCAUAUUAAAAAUAGACCAAUUUACUAAAAAAUCAUGAGAAAAAUAAAAUCGCUAUAACUUUUUCGCUUGUUGAAAAUUUCAAGUUAAGUAAAGUGUUUUCUAGAGUUUAUUAUAUAAGUCAUGAAUGGUCAAAAUUCCAAUGCAAUCGGUUCAUUGAAUCCGGAGAUAUAACAGCUCAAAGUUGGCAAUCGGAUAAUUUUAUCUUUUUCAAAAAUCUUUAUAACUUCGUGAAGAAUUGUCCGAUCUUUUCCAAAUUUUGUUCACUUAUACAAAACUAGUUGAAGAACUUACAGUAAAAAUUUGAGAAUAUUUGAUGCACUUUUCGAAAAGUUACAGCUAGUUGUACAUUUUUUGGAAAGUGAAAAUUUUGCCUGUCCCGAUCAUUUUGUCUAUCCCCUGUAGGUCGUCGUCUUUAAUUUUUGGGCGAUUUUGUUGUUUUCAUAGAUGAUUUCCGCAUAAAAUUCGGCAACCAUGCUGAAGUUUACAAAAUACGGCGAAAUUUGAUGAGUCGCAUAAUAGAAUUCGGUUCAGUUUUAUAUAUAACCAUUUGGCUAGUUCACCGAUGGUGGUAAGUGGUAUGGAUCACUAAAAUGGCCAUAACUCUGGAACGCCUUGAUCGAUUGCAAUCAAUUUUUAAUAGCAAACAAUGCGGUAAAAUUCCGGUUCGAUUCGAGCUAUAUUCCGUAAAAUAAAUCAAUGGGAAGUGCCUUAAAAAUAAGUAAAUUGUGAUAAAUGAAAAGCUCUACCUUUUUGCCUUUGCUGUACACCGAAGUGUACUGAAAGGCUAUAUGUUCACUCUAAAAACGAGUUGUCGAUUUCAGUGAUUCGAACAAGCACCGGUAUAACUGGCUGUAUGCAACACCCCAUCAUGCGACACAUCAAACUGCAGCGAUUUUUGUUACCCUUAGCAUGUGUUGGAGUAUUAGGGGAGAUCGAGUGACAGAGCCCAGGAGUUGUGUGACUGAACAACUUUUAAGUUGAAAUAUAUUUCAUAUUAAAUUCACUUUCAAUGUUAUACAAUUUAAAUUUCUUACAUUUCUGGGCCGGCCGAAGGUCAUUAGGCCGAAUGGUCAUUAGGCCGAAUGAUCAUUAGGCCGAAUGGUCAUCAGGACGAAUUGAAAGUUAGCCGUUGUUUUUACAUUUUCCAACAAUUUUUGCCAAAAACUAGUUUAACAAUGAAACUAUAAAGAAUAACCUAUGUUUUAAAGAAGGAAAAAUUUAUGAAUUGAAUAUCAGCAGUUUCAGCGAAAAAAAUAUUUUAGCAAUGAUACUAGAAAGAACAGCCUGUAUUUAAAAGAAGGAAAAAUUCAUGGGUAAAAUAUCAGUAGAUUCAGCAUCAAUAAAGUAUCUUCGUGCCUGUCACACGGUACACACAUGCAAAAAGGUCAUUUGCAGAGAAAGCUCUCAGUUAUUUCGAGUGGAGCUGAGAAGCAGGCUUUGUCUCAGUGGGGACGUAACGGCAAGAAGAAGAUUCAAUGACCAUUCUGCCUAAUGACCAUUCGGCCUAAUGACCAUUCGGCCUAAUGACCAUUCGGCCUAAUGACCAUUCGGCCUAAUGACCAUUCGGCCUAAUGACCAUUCGGCCUAAUGACCAUUCGGCCUAAUGACCAUUCGGCCUAAUGACCAUUCGGCCUAAUGACCAUUCGGCCUAAUGACCAUUCGGCCUAAUGACCAUUCGGCCUAAUGACCAUUCGGCCUAAUGACCAUUCGGCCUAAUGACCAUUCGGCCUAAUGACCAUUCGGCUUAAUGACCAUUCGGCCUAAUGAACAUUCGGCCUAAUGACCAUUCGGCCUAAUGACCAUUCGGCCUAAUGACCAUUCGGCCUAAUGCAAUGUGGGUAUAUUUGGUAUGGGGAAGAAGCAAGGGAAGAAGUCUAGACUCCAAAAAUGGCAACUAGAAUAUCCAAGAUGGCCAUCGACAAUCCAUGAUGGUGGCUCCAAAUUCAACAUGGUGGCUGUUUUAUGGAAUUGUAGGCUAUAAAACCAUUCAAUAUGGGUAUAUUUGGUAUUGGGAAGAUGUCUGGAGUCCAAAAAUUACGAUUAAAAUGUCCAAGAUGACGACCAAAAUAUCUAAGAUGGCGCCUCAAUAUUUUUUUUCCUCCCCUGUUGGGGAAAUUGAGCCACUGCGUUCAAUAGGCUGAACUUUUGUGGCAUAAAAUCAAUAUUUAAGACGGUGGUUCAAAAUUCAAGAUGGCGGUGGAGAAUUAGGCUCUAAAACUAUUCAAUGUGGGUAUAUUUGGUAUGGGAAAGACAACCGGAGUUCAAAAAUGGCGACCAGAAUACUCUAGAUGGCGUCUCAAAAUUCAUGAUUGCGGCUGUUUAAUUGAGUUUUGGGCUCUAAAACCAUUCAAUAUGGGCAUAUCUGGUAUGGGAACGUCCAUAAAUUACGUCACGCCUUGAGGGGGGAGGGGGGGUUCAGCAAAGUGUGACAACCCAUACAAAAAAUUCAGAGGUCCCAUACAAAAAGUGUGACAUAGGGGGGGGGGGGGUUGAAAAUGGUCGAUUUUUACGUGACGUAAUUUGUGGACGUUCCCUAUGGGGAAGAAGUCUAGAGUCCAAAAAUGGCGACCAGAAUUUCCAAGAUGCCAGACUUUAAUCUAAAUUGACGGCUCAAAAAUCAAGAUCACGGCUUUUUUUCAAAAGUUUAAGGCUCAAACAAAUAUCAAGAACCAGAAAAAACGAUAUGAUUUAUGGAACCAUGAAAUGGAUAUCUGUUAAACGUAUGAAAGUGCGAUAUUCAUAAAUAAGUCACUUGAGUUUUGUAGAAAUGGGUUUUCGAAGGCACGAGAAAGGCGCCAUCACCGCUAGGUAGAUUAAUUAGGGUUUUUAACAGAAAUAUCAACUAUUCGUUGUUUCAAGAUCAGCCGUAGAUAUACAAUAGCUUAUGGAAACUGGUGAGCCACGUGAACCUUUUUGACUUAUUUUUUUUCGCGUGCAACACCGUUCAGUUAAACGAAAAUUGCACCGUAAAUUUGUUUUUAAAUAAAUUCAAAACUCACUCAACAAAAACGUGUAACUGUUUAUGUGGUUCUGGCAUAACUUGAGCGUUAAGGGACCAAUGACCCUUGUGACCCUUGUGCAUAAGAAGUUUUAAAGCUUUCAAUGACAACAUAAGAUCUUUGGGAGUGCUUCUAUUGAUUUGUUUGAAGUGUUUUCCAGUAAGUGUUCCAACUUUAAAAAACCAUUCGAAAAUUUGUUCAAAUCCUUGAUUGAAAUUAUUCUAAAGAUUUAUUCGAGCUUGGUUCGUAACAUUCUCAAAAACAUUGUUGAUGCAGUGAAUAUACUCCAUACACUGUAAAUCAAAAUGUCAAUUUCACUGAUCACAGUUUACAAUAUAUUUAAUUGCGUACACAUUUGAACAUUGCAUCGUCUAAACUGCCGUUCAAACACUCAACAUUGAAGAUACGCAAAUAUCCAGAUGCAAGCGAAGAUACC
Aedes albopictus (Asian tiger mosquito) is the source of this 17765-nucleotide long non-coding RNA. RefSeq lists it as uncharacterized. Lineage: Eukaryota; Metazoa; Arthropoda; Insecta; Diptera; Culicidae. The record is from RefSeq and is a predicted model, not a curated record. The transcript is spliced from 2 exons.